This 404-nucleotide ribosomal RNA is filed under the name Actinomycetes bacterium. RNAcentral's name for it is "Actinobacteria bacterium partial 16S ribosomal RNA". It matches the Rfam family "Bacterial small subunit ribosomal RNA", at positions 355 to 776 of the family's 1533-position model. Lineage: Bacteria; Bacillati; Actinomycetota; Actinomycetes. The record is from RNAcentral.
UGGGGAAUAUUGGACAAUGGGCGCAAGCCUGAUCCAGCCAUGCCGCGUGAGUGAUGAAGGCCCUAGGGUUGUAAAGCUCUUUCACCGGUGAAGAUAAUGACGGUAACCGGAGAAGAAGCCCCGGCUAACUUCGUGCCAGCAGCCGCGGUAAUACGAAGGGGGCUAGCGUUGUUCGGAUUUACUGGGCGUAAAGCGCACGUAGGCGGACUAUUAAGUCAGGGGUGAAAUCCCGGGGCUCAACCCCGGAACUGCCUUUGAUACUGGUAGUCUUGAGUUCGAGAGAGGUGAGUGGAAUUCCGAGUGUAGAGGUGAAAUUCGUAGAUAUUCGGAGGAACACCAGGGGCGAAGGCGGCUCACUGGCUCGAUACUGACGCUGAGGUGCGAAAGCGUGGGGAGCAAACAGG